AGCUGGAAUUGCUAGUAAUCGCGGAUCAGCAUGCCGCGGUGAGUACGUUCCCGGGCCUUGUACACACCGCCCGUCACACCAUGGGAGCCGGUAAUACCCGAAGUCAGUAGUCCAACCUCGUGAGGACGCUGCCGAAGGUAGGAUUGGCGACUGGGGUGAAGUCGUAACAAGGUAUC
Molecule: ribosomal RNA, 176 nt
Filed under: uncultured bacterium
Lineage: Bacteria
Description: partial 16S ribosomal RNA
Rfam family: Bacterial small subunit ribosomal RNA
Source: RNAcentral